Parasteatoda tepidariorum (common house spider) is the source of this 308-nucleotide non-coding RNA. The record is from RefSeq and is a predicted model, not a curated record. Lineage: Eukaryota; Metazoa; Arthropoda; Arachnida; Araneae; Theridiidae.
AAAUUUUUUUUUUAUUCUAAAUUAUACGAAGUACAUUAUUGCUUUAAGUAGAAACUUCUUUAGAUGUUCAAACUAAGUAGUAAAAUUUUUUUCUUAGACCUGAAUUACCGAGCUGGGAAAGAUUCAACUUACAAAUCAGCAAGCAAUAUGUGUACGAAGAGAACUCAACCAUUAUCGAUGAUUUAGAACGUGAUUUGGCGACUCAAAGGAUUGUUGCAGUAGAGCAGCUGGGUGGAGGUAUGCAACUGAAGCUUUUGUUCACAUUUGCUGAUGGAGGUCAUGGUGUGUUUAAACCUCAAAGGUAUUCA